AUAAAAUUUUUAUGUUUUAUAAAAUUUAUUAUAAAUUUAUUUUACAUAUAAAUUUUAGUAUAUGAUUUUAAUUAUUUUAAUAAUAAUUGAAAUUAAUUUGUAGUAAUUAAAAUUAAAAAUUUAAGAAAUUAAGAUUUAGUAAUAUAAGAAUUAAUAACUAAUUUUGUGCCAGCAGUUGCGGUUAUACAAAAAUUAAAUUAAAUUAUUUCAGUAUUUAAUAAAUAAAAAUAAAAUUAAAAUAAAUAUUAAAUUAUUAGGUAAAAUUUUAAUUUGAUUAAAUUUUAACUUAAUUUUAUGAUUUAAUAAAUUUAAUAAUAAACUAGGAUUAGAUACCCUACUAUUAAAAAUUUAAUUUAUAAUACUAAAAUAGUAGAUAAAAAUAUUGAAACUUAAAUAAUAUGGCGGUAUUUUAGUUCAUUUAGAGGAAUCUGUCUAAUAAUUGAUAAUCCACGAAUAAAUUUACUUAAUUUAUAAUUUUAUAUAUCGUUGUUAUAAAAAUAUUUUUUAAUAAAAAUAAUAUUUAAAAAUUUAAAUUAAAAAUUAAUUCAGAUCAAGAUGUAGAAUAUAAUUAAGAAUAUGAUGGAUUACAAUAAAAUAAUUUAAUAUGAAUAAUUUAAUUUUAAAAUUAAUUUGAAGGUGGAUUUAAAUGUAAUUUUAAUUAAUUUAUUAAAAUGAUUAAAAAUUGAAAUAUGUACAUAUUGCCCGUCACUUUCAUUUAAAAAUUGGAAUAAGUCGUAACAAAGUAGAGGUACUGGAAAGUGUUUCUAGAAUGAA
Molecule: non-coding RNA, 774 nt
Filed under: Davidina urda
Lineage: Eukaryota; Metazoa; Arthropoda; Insecta; Lepidoptera; Nymphalidae
Source: RNAcentral